RNAcentral lists this ribosomal RNA (301 nucleotides) under uncultured bacterium. RNAcentral describes it as "partial 16S ribosomal RNA". It matches the Rfam family "Bacterial small subunit ribosomal RNA", at positions 509 to 809 of the family's 1533-position model. The record is from RNAcentral.
CAGCCGCCACGGGAAUACGAAGGGGGCUAGCGUUGUUCAGAUUUACUGGGCGUAAAGGGCGCGUAGGCGGACUGAUAAGUCAGGGGUGAAAUCCCAAGGCUCAACCUUGGAACUGCCUUUGAUACUGUUUGUCUUGAGUUCGAGAGAGGUAAGUGGAACUGCGAGUGUAGAGGUGAAAUUCGUAGAUAUUCGCAAGAACACCAGUGGCGAAGGCGGCUUACUGGCUCGAAACUGACGCUGAGGCGCGAAAGCGUGGGGAGCAAACAGGAUUAGAUACCCCUGUAGUCCCUGUCUCUUAUAU